GGAGGGAGGGUAGAGGAAGGGAGUGGAGGGUACAGAGUGUCAGGAAGAGCGAGGGUGUAACAGGGAAAGUACUGGUCUGUGCUGCGUGUGGGAAGUGACUUUAGUGGCAACGUGAAGGCGAGGACACGAGUGAGGUGCUGGCAGGCUGACUGAGAACGUCAUUGUACGACAGAGUAGCCAGCUAAACAGCCGAGCCCUCAGCGUGCGCCUCCCGCCGGACAAGGGACCCUACAUCCAACACUACCUCAUUGAGAUCCACAACGAAGGCUCCUCCUACUCACUCCAAGCUUCUGAAAACCGCUUCGACACCCUUCCUUCGCUCAUCACCUAUUAUUCUCAGUGCUGCGAAGAGUUGCUGGCUCAGCUCAAGCUUCCUCGCACCGUCCAGGAGGCCAAGACCCGCCAUGAACUCAGCUCUCUCUCGCUGCUCGGACAAGGUGGUGCAUCACAGCGUCAGACUCACAGAGGAUGUGUAGCCGAGGCAAUGACACGUGGACGGCGCUGAUGGCGGCCAGAACCUCUUGGGCGUCUUGGUCACACACGGCCAGGCUGAGCACCCCCAGGUCCCGCCACUCCUGCAGCAGCUGUGUGCCGGCACCACUUAAGUGACCCAUGAACCUCUCAAGGAAGAUGAGCUUCGCGCGACGGACGCAAACUUUCGGAGCGGCGGCCAUGGUGGAGGGCUUGGGACACAGUUCUUCUCGCCAGCAGCCUGCAAAGAAAUUUCCCAAAAACAGUUGGCCAAAAUAAUAAUGGCAGAAGUAAGACUAAGCUUUGAAGAAAGAACAUGUCAUAAAGUGUUACUGGAGGCACGAAAAUGUCAAAGAAGUGCAAAGACAAUUCACAAGACACUUUGACAGGGAUCCACCAAGGUGACGCGCCAUUGC
This is a long non-coding RNA of Scylla paramamosain (green mud crab), 887 nucleotides long. RefSeq lists it as uncharacterized. NCBI's taxonomy places the organism in Eukaryota, Metazoa, Arthropoda, Malacostraca, Decapoda, Portunidae. The record is from RefSeq and is a predicted model, not a curated record. The transcript has 6 exons.